Molecule: ribosomal RNA, 390 nt
Filed under: uncultured bacterium
Lineage: Bacteria
Description: bacterial SSU rRNA
Rfam family: Bacterial small subunit ribosomal RNA
Source: RNAcentral
GACGAACGCUGGCGGCGUGCUUAACACAUGCAAGUCGAACGGAAAGGCCCUGCUUUUGUGGGGUGCUCGAGUGGCGAACGGGUGAGUAACACGUGAGUAACCUGCCCUUGACUUUGGGAUAACUUCAGGAAACUGGGGCUAAUACCGGAUAGGAGCUCCUGCUGCAUGGUGGGGGUUGGAAAGUUUCGGCGGUUGGGGAUGGACUCGCGGCUUAUCAGCUUGUUGGUGGGGUAGUGGCUUACCAAGGCUUUGACGGGUAGCCGGCCUGAGAGGGUGACCGGCCACAUUGGGACUGAGAUACGGCCCAGACUCCUACGGGAGGCAGCAGUGGGGAAUAUUGCACAAUGGGCGGAAGCCUGAUGCAGCAACGCCGCGUGCGGGAUGACGGCC